GAUGAACGCUGGCGGCGUGCCUAAUACAUGCAAGUCGAGCGAACAGACGAGGAGCUUGCUCCUCUGACGUUAGCGGCGGACGGGUGGGUAACACGUGGAUAACCUACCUAUAAGACUGGGAUAACUUCGGGAAACCGGUGCUAAUACCGGAUAAUAUAUUGAACCGCAUGGUUCAAUAGUGAAAGACGGUUUUGCUGUCACUUAUAGAUGGAUCCGCGCCGCAUUAGCUAGUUGGUAAGGUAACGGCUUACCAAGGCAACGAUGCGUAGCCGACCUGAGAGGGUGAUCGGCCACACUGGAACUGAGACACGGUCCAGACUCCUACGGGAGGCAGCAGUAGGGAAUCUUCCGCAAUGGGCGAAAGCCUGACGGAGCAACGCCGCGUGAGUGAUGAAGGUCUUCGGAUCGUAAAACUCUGUUAUUAGGGAAGAACAAAUGUGUAAGUAACUAUGCACGUCUUGACGGUACCUAAUCAGAAAGCCACGGCUAACUACGUG
Molecule: ribosomal RNA, 497 nt
Filed under: uncultured bacterium
Lineage: Bacteria
Description: partial 16S ribosomal RNA
Rfam family: Bacterial small subunit ribosomal RNA
Source: RNAcentral